This 606-nucleotide ribosomal RNA is filed under the name uncultured bacterium. RNAcentral's name for it is "bacterial SSU rRNA". It matches the Rfam family "Bacterial small subunit ribosomal RNA", at positions 248 to 844 of the family's 1533-position model. The record is from RNAcentral.
GUUGGUGAGGUAACGGCUCACCUAGGCAAUGAUAGGUAGGCGGCCUUAACGGGUGGUCGCCCACACUGGGAUUGAGAUACGGCCCAGACUCCUACGGGAGGCAGCAGUCGAGAAUAGUCUACAAUGGUCGGAAGACUGAUAGUGCGACGCCGCGUGAACGAUGAAUCCCUUCGGGGUGUAAAGUUCUUUUAUAUGUGAGCAGUGCUUCUUAUAUUAAGAGUAUGGGGAGAGAGAUAUUAGCACAUGAAUAAGCAACGGCUAACUCCGUGCCAGCAGCCGCGGUAACACGGGGGUUGCGAGCGUUGUCCGGAAUUACUAGGCGUAAAGGGCAGGCAGGCGGAUCCAUAAGUUUAUCGUUUAAGGCGUCGGCUUAACCGGCGUAGGGCGGUAGAUACUGUGGAUCUGGAAUGCGGUUGGGGAAGACAGAAUUCCUGGUGUAGCGGUGGAAUGCGCAGAGAUCAGGAGGAAUACCGAAGGCGAAGGCAGUCUUCCAAGCCGUUAUUGACGCUCAACUGCGAAGGUGUGGGUAUCAAACAGGAUUAGAUACCCUGGUAGUCCACACAGUAAACGAUAAUCACUGGGUGUCGGGUUCGCAUAGGAUUCGGU